RNAcentral lists this ribosomal RNA (274 nucleotides) under uncultured bacterium. RNAcentral's name for it is "partial 16S ribosomal RNA". It matches the Rfam family "Bacterial small subunit ribosomal RNA", at positions 523 to 796 of the family's 1533-position model. The record is from RNAcentral.
AUACGGAGGGGGCUAGCGUUGUUCGGAAUUACUGGGCGUAAAGCGCGCGUAGGCGGAUUGGUUAGUUGGGGGUGAAAUCCCAGGGCUCAACCCUGGAACUGCCCUCAAUACUGCCAGUCUAGAGAUCGAGAGAGGUGAGUGGAAUUCCUAGUGUGGAGGUGAAAUUCGUAGAUAUUAGGAAGAACACCAGUGGCGAAGGCGGCUCACUGGCUCGAUACUGACGCUGAGGCGCGAAAGCGUGGGGAGCAAACAGGAUUAGAAACCCUAGUAGUCC